AACGUAGGACGCGAGCGUUAUCCGGAGUUACUGGGCGUAAAGCGCGGGCAGGCGGUCUGACAAGUCUGAUGUGAAAUCUCCGGGCUUAACCGGGAGAGGCCAUUGGAAACUGACAGGCUGGAGGGCAGUAGAGGUAGGCGGAAUUCCGGGUGGAGUGGUGAAAUGCGUAGAUAUGUGGAGGAACACCGAUGGCGAAGGCAGCCUUCUGGGCCAACACUGACGCUCAUGCACGAAAGCGUGGGGAGCAAACAGG
This 253-nucleotide ribosomal RNA is filed under the name uncultured bacterium. RNAcentral describes it as "partial 16S ribosomal RNA". It matches the Rfam family "Bacterial small subunit ribosomal RNA", at positions 524 to 776 of the family's 1533-position model. The record is from RNAcentral.